Molecule: microRNA, 22 nt
Filed under: Lingula anatina
Lineage: Eukaryota; Metazoa; Brachiopoda; Lingulata; Lingulida; Lingulidae
Description: Lan-Mir-2-o103_5p* (star (passenger))
Source: RNAcentral
UUGUCAAAGUGGCUGUGAUUUG